This 497-nucleotide ribosomal RNA is filed under the name uncultured bacterium. RNAcentral's name for it is "partial 16S ribosomal RNA". It matches the Rfam family "Bacterial small subunit ribosomal RNA", at positions 28 to 507 of the family's 1533-position model. The record is from RNAcentral.
GAUGAACGCUGGCGGCGUGCCUAAUACAUGCAAGUCGAGCGAACAGACGAGGAGCUUGCUCCCCUGACGUUAGCGGCGGACGGGUGAGUAACACGUGGAUAACCUACCUAUAAGACUGGGAUAACUUCGGGAAACCGGAGCUAAUAACGGAUAAUAUAUUGAACCGCAUGGUGCAAUAGUGAAAGACGGUUUUGCUGACACUUAUAGAUGGAUACGGGCCGGAUUAGCUAGUUGGUGAGGUAACGGCUUACCAAGGCAACGAUGGGUAGCCGACCUGAGAGGGUCAUCGCCCAGCCUGGAACUGAGAAAGGGUCCAGACUCCGACGGGGGGACGCAGUCGGGAAUCUUCCGCAAUGGGCGAAAGCCGAACGGAGCAACACCGCGGGAGUGAUGAAGCUGUUCGGCUGGUAAAACUCUGUUAUUAGGAAGGAAGAAAUGUGUAAGUAACUGUGCACGUAUUGACGGUACCGGAACAGAAAGCCACGGCUAACUACGUG